CAGCAGCCGCGGUAAUACGUAGGGUGCAAGCGUUAAUCGGAGUUACUGGGCGUAAAGCGUGCGCAGGCGGUUAUAUAAGUCAGAUGUGAAAUCCCCGGGCUCAACCUGGGAACUGCAUUUGAGACUGUAUGGCUAGAGUGCGUCAGAGGGGGGUAGAAUUCCACGUGUAGCAGUGAAAUGCGUAGAUAUGUGGAGGAAUACCGAUGGCGAAGGCAGCCCCCUGGGACAACACUGACGCUCAUGCACGAAAGCGUGGGGAGCAAACAGGAUUAGAUACCCCAGUAGUCCCUGUCUCUUAUAC
This 301-nucleotide ribosomal RNA is filed under the name uncultured bacterium. RNAcentral describes it as "partial 16S ribosomal RNA". It matches the Rfam family "Bacterial small subunit ribosomal RNA", at positions 509 to 807 of the family's 1533-position model. The record is from RNAcentral.